UAAUGGCGAAUGAACAGGGACAAGCUCAGCAUGGAAAUCGGGGUCUCUGGCCCUGAAUUGUAGUCUCGAGAUGUACUGCCAACGGAGGCGCAGAUGUAAGCCUCUUGGAAAAGAGCACCAAUGAGGGUGAGAGUCCCGCUUGCCAUCUGUAGUCCCCCGUGUACGGUGUGCGUUCUAAGAGUCACGUUCCUCAGGAUUGGAGCGCAAAGUGGGUGGUAAAUUUCAUCUAAAGCUGAAUAUUGGUUCGAGACCGAUAGCAAACAAGUACCAUGAGGGAAAGGUGAAAAGGACUUUGAAAAGAGAGUUAAAAGUGCCUGAAAUUGCUGAAAGGGAAGCGAAUGGAACCAGUGUGUCUUGGUGAGAUUGUCACGCGCUAAUGCGAUUGCUUGCUGCUUCAGCGCAAGCGUGGCAGCAGGUCUUGAGCAGGACGCGCGCGGUGCUUCUUGCCUUGCGUGUCAACCCCAGUUCACAGUUGAGGAAAACCUCAAGGACCUGGUAGCUUGCCCCCGGGUGGGUGAAUGUUCUUCGGUGAACUCGACUGUGUACUG
This 548-nucleotide ribosomal RNA is filed under the name Glenoaulax inaequalis. RNAcentral describes it as "LSU rRNA". It matches the Rfam family "Eukaryotic large subunit ribosomal RNA", at positions 84 to 548 of the family's 3401-position model. Lineage: Eukaryota; Dinophyceae. The record is from RNAcentral.